Molecule: long non-coding RNA, 1761 nt
Organism: Clupea harengus (Atlantic herring)
Lineage: Eukaryota; Metazoa; Chordata; Actinopteri; Clupeiformes; Clupeidae
Source: Ensembl
AUCACGGAGCAGGUUUAGAACAGGUCUGAGGAGGCCAGUGCGGUUCAUCAGGGAGCAGGUUUGGAACAGGUCUACAGAGGCAAGUGUGGUUCAUCACGGAGCAGGUUUUGAACAGGUCUGAGGAGGCCAGUGCGGUUCAUCAGGGAGCAGGUUUAGAACAGGUCUAUUGAGGCUGAUGUGGACUAAUCCGGUGCUGAAUCCAGGAGGAUAUGCUGCCUGAAUGCAAGAUCUCCCUCUACAGUGAAUUCACAAGGAACAACACACUUAAAACACAGAGCUCCACAUGUCCCUUUCAAUUUUGAAAUAACUCUAAAUAACCGAGUCAGAUAUGCGCUAUACUUUGGUGGAAAACACAUUUGUAUGGAUAAACCAAGCAUCAAUUUGAACAACAUGUUCUCAUAAAAAAUCUGUCCAAUUCAAUAUGCCUUUGCCGCUUGUCUUAAAUUACAAAGAGUGCAAAGAAAACACACUCUCCACUUUUCACCUGCUGUAUAGCGCACUGGCCAGCCCAGGGAGCUGACCGCAACUGACCGCAGCCGGUCAGAGACACGAAACAAGUUCCUCCAAGGGUCAGUAGGUAAAAUGUCCACUCGAAAAAAAUAAAAAAUAAAUAAAAAAUGUAAGAGGAAAAAUUGCAUGACUGGCCAUGGCAGAGCUUAACUCCCCCUUAAUGAGGUGGUCUGUUGUGUUUACUGCGCUGGGGUGCGCUUUGGCAGUGACUCCUUUUUUAAAGCAGAGGGCCAUCAUUUCAGAGACCGCCUGGCUGCAUGCUCCCAGGCCAUCAGCACUACUACAGCUCCACAAACUUUUGUCCUUAAAAAGCAGGUUAUGCAAGAAUGUGUGUGUAUAUGUAUUUGUAUGUGUGUGUGUGAGGGUGUGUAUGUGUAUUUGUGUGUGUGUGUGUGUGUGUGUGUGUGUGAGUGUGUGCACGUGUAUUUGUGUGUGUGUAUGUGUAUUUGUGUGUGUGUGUGUGUGUGAGAGUGUUUAUGUGCACGUAUACAAGUCUGAUUUAAUGUCCAAAACAUAAUUUGGGUUUAACUGUUUUUUUUUUUUUUACCUUCCUGGUAAUGCUGGUAGCUCAUGACUGUGGACAUUAAGAACAUGAAGAAUAAUCAUGCAACUGUCCUCAUUUAAUUCAAACCACAGAAUCACUCCCUACAAUCCAAUGAAAUAAUGAGAGAGCCACGCUGUUAUGAUGUAAUUUCAUAUUUGUAUAUAUUUAUAUAUUACACAUUUAUUACAGACAAAAUGAAAUCAAGGUGAAGACAAAAGUGGCAGAUAUAUUUGUAAAAAUGUACAUUUCAUGAAAAAAAAAAAAAAAAUCAUUUAUACAGGUUGUCUUUUUUUCGCGUAACGCUCUUUAAGAAACAAACAAAAAAAAAAAACUGGAGUAAAAGAGUGUGAGACAGAAGGACACAGAAACACAGGGACAGAGUGAGUGAUUUACCAGAAAAGAUACAUCGAAAAGAAAAUGCCUUUGAGUUUUCACCAGAGAUGUGAGAGGCAGCAAGAACCAGCUUGCUAAACACACACACACACACACACACACACACACACAUAUUCUGUUGUGUGUGGAGGCUGAAAAGACACACACUUACUCUGAUGUGUGUGGGGGCUGUUUGUUUGUGGCACACAGGUGAGUGAGGACGUCCCUGUGAGCAGCUGAAACUGGACCACAUCAGGCCCUGAUCCGAGAUCAGCUGCUACAUCCCACCCUCAGAGAACACACACAUCCCAGGUGAUCCCUGUCUCAGCUCACAG